GACGAACGCUGGCGGCGUGCUUAACACAUGCAAGUCGAACGGAAAGGCUCCAGCUUGCUGGCGUGCUCGAGUGGCGAACGGGUGAGUAACACGUGGGCAAUCUGCCCUGCACUCUGGGAUAAGCCUGGGAAACUGGGUCUAAUACCGGAUAGGACCUUUCUCCUCAUGGGGUUUGGUGGAAAGUUUUUCGGUGCAGGAUGAGCCCGCGGCCUAUCAGCUUGUUGGUGGGGUAAUGGCCUACCAAGGCGACGACGGGUAGCCGGCCUGAGAGGGUGAUCGGCCACAUUGGGACUGAGAUACGGCCCAGACUCCUACGGGAGGCAGCAGUGGGGAAUAUUGCACAAUGGGCGAAAGCCUGAUGCAGCGACGCCGCGUGAGGGAUGACGGCCUUCGGGUUGUAAACCUCUUUCGGUAGGGACGAAGCGCAAGUGACGGUACCUGCAGAAGAAGCACCGGCUAACUACGUG
This 467-nucleotide ribosomal RNA is filed under the name uncultured bacterium. Its description in RNAcentral is "partial 16S ribosomal RNA". It matches the Rfam family "Bacterial small subunit ribosomal RNA", at positions 28 to 507 of the family's 1533-position model. The record is from RNAcentral.